UGUCCAGGGAUGGGAAUCGAACCCACAGUGUUUGACAAUUAAAAAUUAUUCAUUGUCUUCUAGACAAUGUUAACACUCAACCAGGAGGGUAAAAUAUUUACAAUUAACAAUCGUCAGGAAUUAAGGCAUCGCCUCCUAAGCUUAGCCAUAUCGAAGCCAACAAUGGAACCCACAGUGUUGCGCUUACCGGGCAGAGGCCAUGUCCACUAGGCUACCUUGGAC
This is a non-coding RNA of Cordylochernes scorpioides, 222 nucleotides long. Lineage: Eukaryota; Metazoa; Arthropoda; Arachnida; Pseudoscorpiones; Chernetidae. The record is from the annotation of a GenBank genome assembly.